CUGUUGGUUAACUUAGUGGCGGACGGGUGAGUAACACGUAGGUAACCAACCCUAAAGCGGGGGACAACCCAGGGAAACUUGGGCUAAUACCGCAUAAGACCACGGACUGGGAGGUUCGUGGUAAAAGGUCAAGUUGAAAGAUUUGGCCACUUUAGGCUGGGCCUGCGGCCUAUCAGGUAGUUGGUAAGGUAAUGGCUUACCAAGCCUAAGACGGGUAGCCGGACUGAGAGGUUGAACGGCCACACUGGAACUGAGAUACGGUCCAGACUCCUACGGGAGGCAGCAGUGGGGAAUUUUGCGCAAUGGGCGAAAGCCUGACGCAGCGACGCCGCGUGGAGGAUGAAGGUUUUCGGAUUGUAAACUCCUUUUGUCGGGGAAGAUAAUGACGGUACC
This 393-nucleotide ribosomal RNA is filed under the name uncultured Nitrospirota bacterium. RNAcentral describes it as "bacterial SSU rRNA". It matches the Rfam family "Bacterial small subunit ribosomal RNA", at positions 80 to 479 of the family's 1533-position model. The record is from RNAcentral. Lineage: Bacteria; Pseudomonadati; Nitrospirota.